GAAUAAUCGAAUUUACACAAAGCGUUCAUCGUACAAGUACAUCCCUGAAAUUAAGAUCGGACACGAGCAGUUGUAGAAAACUUUUGGGUAAACAUCAAACGUCAAGUUUACACUAUGCGUGUUUGUCAAAGUGUUCAUCGUACGAGUACAGCACUGAAAUUGAGGUCGGACACGAGCAAUUGCAGAAAACUAUGCGAACGAUCAAAAUUUGAUGCCAGUGUUCAUCGUACAAGGAGAGCUUCAAAAUACUAUGGAGAUAAUUAAAUGUGUUUAUUUGUCAAAGUGCCACGAUGACAGUUUUGAAAUAAAGGUCCGACAGGAGGAAUUGCUGAAUACUGUCGAAAUGCUAAAAAUGACAAAUUCAAAAAAAGUGCAAUUCCUGACAUCAUAGUGAAACAAUUUUGAGACUUUUAGAACUUGGUCUCUUUGUAAGGUUUACUUCCAAAUUUACAUAAAAAUUGGAUCAUUUAACCCAAUACCUAGAGGAGGGAUCUCCAAAGGAUAUUAGACUUGAAAUGUUACACUUGAUUUGGAGACUUGAGGGAAAAAUUUUCAACAAAUGAUGGAAGUGCUAAAAGUGUCAAAUUCAAGAAAAAGUGCAGUUCCUGGCGUCAUAGUGAAACAAUUUUUGAGUCUUUUAGAACUUGGUCUCUUUGUAAGGUUUAUUUCGAAAAAAAAAUUUUGAUCAAUUAACCUAGAGGAGGGUUCUCCAAGGGAUAUUAGACUUGAAAUGUAACACUUGAUUUGAAGAUUGGCGGGGAAAAAUUUUCAACAAAUGAUGCAGAUAUCAAGGAAGAACAGUGAAUUCUCGGCAACUGGAAUCAACAAACAACGGGCAACUUUCU
This is a long non-coding RNA of Leptopilina boulardi, 845 nucleotides long. RefSeq lists it as uncharacterized. NCBI's taxonomy places the organism in Eukaryota, Metazoa, Arthropoda, Insecta, Hymenoptera, Figitidae. The transcript is spliced from 7 exons. The record is from RefSeq and is a predicted model, not a curated record.